UAAUACGGAGGAUGCAAGCGUUAUCCGGAUUCAUUGGGUUUAAAGGGUGCGCAGGCGGAAUGAUAAGUCAGUGGUGAAAUCCUACGGCUCAACUGUAGAACUGCCAUUGAUACUGUCGUUCUUGAGUACACUUGGAGUGGGCGGAAUGUGUCAUGUAGCGGUGAAAUGCUUAGAUAUGACACAGAACACCGAUCGCGAAGGCAGCUCACUAAAUUGUAACUGACGCUCAGGCACGAAAGCGUGGGGAUCAAACAGG
RNAcentral lists this ribosomal RNA (256 nucleotides) under uncultured bacterium. Its description in RNAcentral is "partial 16S ribosomal RNA". It matches the Rfam family "Bacterial small subunit ribosomal RNA", at positions 521 to 776 of the family's 1533-position model. The record is from RNAcentral.